UAGGGAAUCUUCCGCAAUGGACGCAAGUCUGACGGAGCAACGCCGCGUGAGUGAAGAAGGAUUUCGGUUCGUAAAACUCUGUUGUUAGAGAAGAACAGCGCAUAGAGUAACUGUUAUGCGUGUGACGGUAUCUAACCAGAAAGCCACGGCUAACUACGUGCCAGCAGCCGCGGUAAUACGUAGGUGGCAAGCGUUGUCCGGAUUUAUUGGGCGUAAAGCGAGCGCAGGCGGUCAAUUAAGUCUGAUGUGAAAGCCCCCGGCUCAACCGGGGAGGGUCAUUGGAAACUGGUUGAAUUGAGUGCAGAAGAGGAGAGUGGAAUUCCAUGUGUAGCGGUGAGAUGCGUAGAUAGAUGGAGGAACACCAGUGGCGAAGGCGACUCUCUGGUCUGUAACUGACGCGGAGGUUCGAAAGCGUGGGUAGCAAACAGG
RNAcentral lists this ribosomal RNA (429 nucleotides) under Bacteroidota bacterium. RNAcentral describes it as "Bacteroidetes bacterium partial 16S ribosomal RNA". It matches the Rfam family "Bacterial small subunit ribosomal RNA", at positions 355 to 776 of the family's 1533-position model. The record is from RNAcentral. Lineage: Bacteria; Pseudomonadati; Bacteroidota.